GUGACAGUGAACUACAGAAUGGCUCUCAAGGAAAGAGGGUGGGGUGGUGGGCUCGUUUGAGUUCUGGGUCAGGAAGUGGCCACAGCAGCAUGCUUUUGUUCUGGAUUUUGGUGAUCUAAAACCAGAGUGAAUCCUGUGCUUGUGCCUCUUGGUAAUUCUGUCCAGAAGAUGGCAGAUCAGAGUGAGGCUAGCAGUCCUUUUUGUGGCUCUGAUACUGACCGUUCUAGACAAGCAUCUGCAGCAGGACCAGGCUGGAAUUCAAAAAGCUGUCAGGUGUGAUGAUGUAUGUAUGAUCCACUCUGCUAGUCUUAGAAAUCACACUAAUGUAGAAAACAAGACCCCUGAAAAGCAGGCUCCUGGGCACUGAUGUGCAAUACAUAAUGAACACUGUAGGAUGGAAGAAAUUCACUCACAUGUCAUUCUGAAAAAGAAGUUACUAACCUGGCAUAGACACAGAAAAUACCAAAAUCAUGACUCUGCUUGCAAAUGGAGGGUACCUGGCCAGAUCUGUCUGCAUCUCCAAGGGCUGUAAUAGAAGAUUACCAAGCACUGGAGAAAUCUAACCUCAAGCUGAACAAAAUGCACCAGCAGGACCUGCUUUUUCAACUCUUGGAGAAACACACAUUCUCAGACAGCACCAACACACUACUGUGACUCGGCAUAUUGACUCAGGUUAAAUUAUAAGCAGUUUCUCACUUAAACAUCAAAGCAUGGUCGAACUA
Ochotona princeps (American pika) is the source of this 722-nucleotide long non-coding RNA. RefSeq lists it as uncharacterized. NCBI's taxonomy places the organism in Eukaryota, Metazoa, Chordata, Mammalia, Lagomorpha, Ochotonidae. The record is from RefSeq and is a predicted model, not a curated record. The transcript is spliced from 2 exons.